CUUGCUUCUCUUGAGAGCGGCGGACGGGUGAGUAAUGCCUAGGAAUCUGCCUGGUAGUGGGGGAUAACGUCCGGAAACGGACGCUAAUACCGCAUACGUCCUACGGGAGAAAGCAGGGGACCUUCGGGCCUUGCGCUAUCAGAUGAGCCUAGGUCGGAUUAGCUAGUUGGUGGGGUAAUGGCUCACCAAGGCGACGAUCCGUAACUGGUCUGAGAGGAUGAUCAGUCACACUGGAACUGAGACACGGUCCAUACUCCUACGGGAGGCAGCAGUGGGGAAUAUUGGACAAUGGGCGAAAGCCUGAUCCAGCCAUGCCGCG
This 319-nucleotide ribosomal RNA is filed under the name uncultured bacterium. RNAcentral describes it as "bacterial SSU rRNA". It matches the Rfam family "Bacterial small subunit ribosomal RNA", at positions 79 to 401 of the family's 1533-position model. The record is from RNAcentral.